RNAcentral lists this transfer RNA (75 nucleotides) under Acidobacteriota bacterium. RNAcentral describes it as "tRNA-Trp". It matches the Rfam family "tRNA". From Rfam's summary of the family: Transfer RNA (tRNA) molecules are approximately 80 nucleotides in length. Their secondary structure includes four short double-helical elements and three loops (D, anti-codon, and T loops). The record is from RNAcentral. Lineage: Bacteria; Pseudomonadati; Acidobacteriota. RNAcentral also lists the same sequence under 7 other names.
AGGGGAGUCGUCCAACGGCUAGGACUCCGGUCUCCAAAACCGGGUAUGGGGGUUCGAGUCCCUCCUCCCCUGCCA